This 457-nucleotide ribosomal RNA is filed under the name uncultured bacterium. Its description in RNAcentral is "bacterial SSU rRNA". It matches the Rfam family "Bacterial small subunit ribosomal RNA", at positions 340 to 786 of the family's 1533-position model. The record is from RNAcentral.
UACGGGAGGCAGCAGUGGGGAAUAUUGCACAAUGGGCGCAAGCCUGAUGCAGCCAUGCCGCGUGUAUGAAAAAGGCCUUUCGGGGUUGUAAAGUACUUUCAGUCGUGAGGAAGGUGUUAAGGUUAAUAACCUUAGCAAUUGACGUUAGCGACAGAAGAAGCACCGGCUAACUCCGUGCCAGCAGCCGCGGUAAUACGGAGGGUGCGAGCGUUAAUCGGAAUUACUGGGCGUAAAGGGCACGCAGGCGGUUAAUUAAGUUGGAUGUGAAAUCCCCGGGCUUAACCUGGGAAUGGCAUUCAAGACUGGUUAGCUAGAGUCUUGUAGAGGGGGUAGAAUUCCAUGUGUAGCGGUGAAAUGCGUAGAGAUGUGGAGGAAUACCGGUGGCGAAGGCGGCCCCUGGACAAAGACUGACGCUCGAUGUGCGAAAGCGUGGGGAGCGAAACAGGGAUUAGAUACC